RNAcentral lists this transfer RNA (77 nucleotides) under Acinetobacter johnsonii. Its description in RNAcentral is "tRNA-Ile". It matches the Rfam family "tRNA". Rfam says of the family: Transfer RNA (tRNA) molecules are approximately 80 nucleotides in length. The record is from RNAcentral. Lineage: Bacteria; Pseudomonadati; Pseudomonadota; Gammaproteobacteria; Moraxellales; Moraxellaceae. RNAcentral also lists the same sequence under 2 other names.
GGGCCUAUAGCUCAGUUGGUUAGAGCAGCGGACUCAUAAUCCGUUGGUCCCCAGUUCAAGUCUGGGUGGGCCCACCA